This 492-nucleotide ribosomal RNA is filed under the name uncultured bacterium. Its description in RNAcentral is "partial 16S ribosomal RNA". It matches the Rfam family "Bacterial small subunit ribosomal RNA", at positions 29 to 507 of the family's 1533-position model. The record is from RNAcentral.
AGUGAACGCUGGCGGUAGGCCUAACACAUGCAAGUCGAACGGCAGCACAGUAAGAGCUUGCUCUUACGGGUGGCGAGUGGCGGACGGGUGAGGAAUACAUCGGAAUCUACUUUUUCGUGGGGGAUAACGUAGGGAAACUUACGCUAAUACCGCAUACGACCUACGGGUGAAAGCAGGGGAUCUUCGGACUUUGCGCGUUUAAUUAGGCCGAUGUCGGAUUAGCUAGUUGGCGGGGUAAAGGCCCACCAAGGCGACGAUCCGUAGCUGGUCUGAGAGGAUGAUCAGCCACACUGGAACUGAGACACGGUCCAGACUCCUACGGGAGGCAGCAGUGGGGAAUAUUGGACAAUGGGCGCAAGCCUGAUCCAGCCAUACCGCGUGGGUGAAGAAGGCCUUCGGGUUGUAAAGCCCUUUUGUUGGGAAAGAAAAGCAGCAGGUUAAUACCCCGCUGUUCUGACGGUACCCAAAGAAUAAGCACCGGCUAACUUCGUG